This 253-nucleotide ribosomal RNA is filed under the name uncultured bacterium. RNAcentral describes it as "partial 16S ribosomal RNA". It matches the Rfam family "Bacterial small subunit ribosomal RNA", at positions 524 to 776 of the family's 1533-position model. The record is from RNAcentral.
UACGUAGGGGGCGAGCGUUGUCCGGAUUUACUGGGCGUAAAGAGCGCGCAGGCGGUCGUUCAAGUCGCGUGUGAAAGCCCCCGGCUCAACUGGGGAGGGUCACGCGAUACUGAUCGACUCGAAGGCAGGAGAGGGAAGUGGAAUUCCCGGUGUAGUGGUGAAAUGCGCAGAUAUCAGGAGGAACACCGGUGGCGAAGGCGGGUCUCUGGGCCGAUACUGACGCUGAGGAGCGAAAGCGUGGGGAGCAAACAGG